CUGAGGACGCACUGACGUGUUCCGCCUCUUCAGAUGACAUUUCUGCGCUCUCUCUUUUACUUUUGCGCUUCGAGACUCUGACACACACGCCACCUAUCUUUACACUGCGGGAUAGAUGGAGAAACACUGGCUAUGGGACUGUGGGAUCGCUUGAUGAACCAGAUCAAGAUGGUCCCGUCAAAUGACUCAUCAAAACUUCUGCAGUACAGGUGGGACAUUGGAAAAGUGAGGCGGUAGAAAAAGCCUAUCAUGUGCUAAGCGGAAUUCCAGAGAGAGAAUUGCAACAGCUCGACGUGGGAAUGAUCGUGAGGAACGAUCUUCAUGUGCAUGAAGAGAUACAUGUGAGGCUGCCGAUGCUGCGCUGCUUCAGUGAUCCGACAGUAUCUGGGCUGCUGUACGUCGCCUAAUGUCAGUUAGCAUGAGGAGGCUCUAGGUGCUGGUCAAACAAGACGAGGGCCCUUGAUGUACACACACAAACAUUCCUCCCCUGCAUCCCACAAGCAUGACCUAAUCCAGCUACAACGGCUGUCAACAUAAACACAUCACUAAUCUGAGUGCAUCUAUGGCAAUAUUACCAGUCUAAGUGCCAAAGAGAAGAGUGGGGGAGUGCCAUGGCUUAAUCCUAGAGGGAAAAGUACAGAUUAAUAAUAGACCUUGGAAAUAUAACACUAUUUUAGGGAGGGGAGGUCGGGGCUUGGUUUCACCCAAAAUUGAAUGAGUGACAUGCAGGGGCAUAUGGUUGCUCUAUCAGCUUACAAAAUAAAGGAGGAUUAGUGCAUUUGGAUGGGGAUCUAUGACAUGAUUACACUUGUGUCUUGGAAAAGAUGUCUGAUAAGGAGCUACCCAUUGUGUAACAAUCUUCAGAAUGUUUUUUUUAGGGGCUUAUGAUACAUUCAAGUGCAGUUAUUGUGCUAAAACAGCAAGUUCUAUCAUUCUAAAUGCUUAGAGGUAGAGACACUCUGUAUUACAAUAGAGUUCUAAAUGACAUACUGUAUAUAUAUAUAUAUAUAUAUGAAUGCAGUUUAAACCAUGAUACAUUUUUGUAUUUCUUGAUCAUUUAACCUGAACAUAACACCAACUCUUCAUUCUGAAUCCUAUAGUGUGUGCAGCAGGAAAGUGACCUACUGACCCUUGAAAAGACAUCCCUUAGGACCGCACCAAAUGGCAGGCACACCUUAGCCCCUGUAUGAUUCAGUUUUGUUUUGAUCACUGGUUUAAUAUGGUGUAAUAGACCUUUUCCUGUGCAGGUUCCUGUUUAGAGGCUUUCCUGUAAAUGUCAUGUGUCUUUCCAUUAAUAAAUUACACUUUAUGACUACACAA
This is a long non-coding RNA of Myxocyprinus asiaticus (Chinese sucker), 1320 nucleotides long. RefSeq lists it as uncharacterized. The record is from RefSeq and is a predicted model, not a curated record. The transcript is spliced from 2 exons. Lineage: Eukaryota; Metazoa; Chordata; Actinopteri; Cypriniformes; Catostomidae.